RNAcentral lists this ribosomal RNA (825 nucleotides) under uncultured microorganism. RNAcentral's name for it is "bacterial SSU rRNA". It matches the Rfam family "Bacterial small subunit ribosomal RNA", at positions 1 to 803 of the family's 1533-position model. The record is from RNAcentral.
UGAAUUAGCGCCCGGAAUUCCCCUUAGAGUUUGAUCAUGGCUCAGAUUGAACGCUGGCGGCAGGCCUAACACAUGCAAGUCGAGCGGUUGACGGGAGCUUGCUCCCUGAUUCAGCGGCGGACGGGUGAGUAAUGCCUAGGAAUCUGCCUAUUAGUGGGGGACAACGUUUCGAAAGGAACGCUAAUACCGCAUACGUCCUACGGGAGAAAGCAGGGGACCUUCGGGCCUUGCGCUAAUAGAUGAGCCUAGGUCGGAUUAGCUAGUUGGUGAGGUAAUGGCUCACCAAGGCGACGAUCCGUAACUGGUCUGAGAGGAUGAUCAGUCACACUGGAACUGAGACACGGUCCAGACUCCUACGGGAGGCAGCAGUGGGGAAUAUUGGACAAUGGGCGAAAGCCUGAUCCAGCCAUGCCGCGUGUGUGAAGAAGGUCUUCGGAUUGUAAAGCACUUUAAGUUGGGAGGAAGGGUUGUAGAUUAAUACUCUGCAAUUUUGACGUUACCGACAGAAUAAGCACCGGCUAACUCUGUGCCAGCAGCCGCGGUAAUACAGAGGGUGCAAGCGUUAAUCGGAAUUACUGGGCGUAAAGCGCGCGUAGGUGGUUUGUUAAGUUGGAUGUGAAAGCCCCGGGCUCAACCUGGGAACUGCAUCCAAAACUGGCAAGCUAGAGUACGGUAGAGGGUGGUGGAAUUUCCUGUGUAGCGGUGAAAUGCGUAGAUAUAGGAAGGAACACCAGUGGCGAAGGCGACCACCUGGACUGAUACUGACACUGAGGUGCGAAAGCGUGGGGAGCAAACAGGAUUAGAUACCCUGGUAGUCCAGGGCGA